This 587-nucleotide ribosomal RNA is filed under the name uncultured bacterium. RNAcentral describes it as "bacterial SSU rRNA". It matches the Rfam family "Bacterial small subunit ribosomal RNA", at positions 790 to 1368 of the family's 1533-position model. The record is from RNAcentral.
GUAGUCCACGCCGUAAACGAUGCGCACUAGGUAUGAGAGACUCUGACGUCGAUCGUGCCGAAACAAAAGCGUUAAGUGCGCCGCCUGGGGAGUACGGCCGCAAGGCUAAAACUCAAAGGAAUUGACGGGGGCUCACACAAGCGGUGGAGUAUGUGGAUUAAUUCGAAGCAACGCGCAGAACCUCACCUAGGUUUGACAUGCUAGGAUGCCCUUUGGGAAACCAGAGUAAGCUGCCUUCGGGUGAAACUAGCACAGGUGCUGCAUGGCUGUCGUCAGCUCGUGCUGUGAAGUGUCGGGUUAAGUCCCUUAACGAGCGAAACCCCUAUCGUUAGUUGCCAGCGGGUCAUGCCGGGAACUCUAGCGAGACCGCCGGCGUCAAGCCGGAGGAAGGCGGGGAUGACGUCAAGUCAUCAUGGCCUUUAUGCCUAGGGCGUCACACGUACUACAAUGGGCGAUACAGAGCGAAGCGAGACCGUGAGGUGGAGCAAAUCGCAUAAAGUCGUCCUCAGUUCAGAUCGGAGUCUGCAACCCGACUCCGUGAAGUUGGAAUCGCUAGUAAUCGCGGAUCAGCCACGCCGCGGUGAAUG